Molecule: long non-coding RNA, 414 nt
Organism: Homarus americanus (American lobster)
Lineage: Eukaryota; Metazoa; Arthropoda; Malacostraca; Decapoda; Nephropidae
Exons: 3
Source: RefSeq, a predicted model, not a curated record
GUGGAGCUGCAGAGACGUGAGGCGAACACGGUGGGGUGAUGUUGUUACUCGGGUAUCACAUAAUGGUGGUGGUGGUGCUGAGCGCUACGCCCCAAGCCGUCCAGGAGGUGAAUGGAUCUAUAGAGGAGGUGGGCUUGGAUGUCGGUGUGCUUGUGGCACAGGUUUUGGAGCACCAUCUCACUGGCUGUCAUCUAGUGCUCGUCACCACUACAUCGCAUUUGCACGUCUCCAUCAGUGUAUUCAGACACAUGGGUGUGGGUGUGGCGGCUGGCGUGGUAGUGGAGGCAGGGUGGGUGUUGUCCCAGGACCAGCUGGUCCAGGACCACCUCCUGCAGGGGCUGUGGGGAGACACCAGAACCACCUGCCGGGCCCUCAUCCUUGAUCUCACUGCCAAAACCAGCACUGACGUCGUUC